AGCCAUAUGGGAGCAUCACUAGAAGGUAGAGGUUACAAGUCCGGAAGCCAGACUUCGUCAGAAACCAAUCUCAUUAUCACCUUAAUCUUGGACUUCUUACCUCCAACACUGUGAGAAAGUUUCUCUGAAUGGGCUUAUGAGAUCAGCACCCUUCAUUUCCAGAAUGUUUGUGCACCGAUUCAGGAGCAGUUGUGAUGGAGGGCUGGAUGCAAAAUGAUGACUGCGUCAGGGGUGCAACAGAAUUACUUUAGAAGUGGCAGUGCACAUUUGUGAUCUCUCAUGAGAGAAGAGGUCCCCUUAAGCACAAUUUCAUAAAGCAAGAAGAGGCGAUGGAAUCCAGUGUGCACACUGAGAGGCGGGUUUCGUACCACAGAACGUUCUGCCACAGCCGGGACAGGAGGUAAGAGUGAUGGAUUUAGUAGUCCUGCGAGAGCUUGAACAUAGGCUUUGGUCUGCUUCUAUACUUCUCGGUGCGAUCACA
Long non-coding RNA from Talpa occidentalis (Iberian mole), 481 nucleotides. RefSeq lists it as uncharacterized. The transcript is spliced from 4 exons. Lineage: Eukaryota; Metazoa; Chordata; Mammalia; Eulipotyphla; Talpidae. The record is from RefSeq and is a predicted model, not a curated record.